GCCUCAGUGGCCUAAUGGACAAGGCACUGGCCGGCUAAGUUGGGGAUUGUGGGUUCAAGUCCUGUCUGUGAUG
RNAcentral lists this transfer RNA (73 nucleotides) under Pelodiscus sinensis (Chinese soft-shelled turtle). It matches the Rfam family "tRNA". From Rfam's summary of the family: Transfer RNA (tRNA) molecules are approximately 80 nucleotides in length. Their secondary structure includes four short double-helical elements and three loops (D, anti-codon, and T loops). Lineage: Eukaryota; Metazoa; Chordata; Testudines; Trionychidae. The record is from Rfam by way of RNAcentral.